Mytilus californianus (California mussel) is the source of this 1288-nucleotide long non-coding RNA. RefSeq lists it as uncharacterized. The transcript is spliced from 6 exons. The record is from RefSeq and is a predicted model, not a curated record. NCBI's taxonomy places the organism in Eukaryota, Metazoa, Mollusca, Bivalvia, Mytilida, Mytilidae.
CAUAAUUGUUUUUUUAUAUGUAUAUAGUUUCAUGUCUAAAUAUUUGUUGGAUUUAAAAAAGGAAUCACAUUGAAAUACAUAAUCAAAUAUAUUAUAUUUUGUAUUGUUUUCAGAUAUAUCUAAAUGUACAUUGCUUUAUAUGUUUAUAUAGUUUUACUUUUCAUAUUUAAUUUGCCUUUCUACUUGAUGCUUCUGCUUUCUAGUCCCGUACUGUAAGAUAGAAUGCAUGUCCAAUAUAUGUUUUCCAGGCAAUAUUCCUGUUAGUAAACUAUAUAGCAUUGAAUAUCAAAUACGUUAAAAAUGCAUGUUUUAUUAAAUGUAAAUUAUUAUAAAAAAAAAUCAAUAUCACAUUCUUCAGUUGGUCUUAAGUGGCCGAUAUUUUCAAAUUUAUAAUGCUAAUAAUGUUAUUUGGUUGUCUAUUAUCAUUAAAAUUGAAGCUUGAUCUUUAACUUGUUUUCUAAAUAUUUUGUUUUAAAUUUGUGUAUAUAACUGAUAUGGUUAUGAUUGUUGUUUUAUGUUGUUUUAUGUUAUUUCAUUUCUCUGAAAAGCUUUUUUUUUAAUUAUAUACAUGAAUGUAAAUCAAACCCUUGUGAAAAUGCUGGAAGUUGUACGGAUCGUGUGAACAGAAACAUAGAUGAUCAUGCGAGAUUCACUUUGGUAAAGGAGAUGAAUUUGUUAGACAAGUGUUUCAUGAUGACAACAACUUUUUUGUGGGACCCCGGGGAACAACCAGCAACAUUGUCAAAUGCAUGAUAGCCUAUUAAAAGACAGGAAUAAUGCUUUUAAGGAGAUUACGAAUUAUCUAACGCACACAAUGCAGAAGUAGAAGCUCCGUGGAAAAUACAACGACAUGAAGCCCGUUCAUUCCUUACAUCUCCAACAAGAAACAGAAGAAGUGAUCCUAGAUGCAAUACAGACGAGCUUUAUUGUGAAAACAACAAAGACAGUUGUAUGGAGCACAAUGAACAAUCACGGGAGUAUUAUUGUGAGGAUAAUACAUGCACCUCUACACAAGCAUGUUACCUAUCUACACCCUGUCCAGCACAUUACACAUUAGGCUGCUCAGAUAAUCGGUGCCUCUCUUUCCCUUGCUAUAACGGAGCCACAUGUCAUGAUACAAGUACCAGCUUCACUUGUCAAUGUGUACAAGGCUGGGAUCCAGCGGAUUAUUGUAAGACAGAAAAAAAUGAAUGUGCAUCUAACCCGUGUCAAAAUGGCGGUGUAUGUACAGACAAGUUUAAUGACUACAGUUGUUCCUGUCCUCCAGGUUAUACAGGAAAGAUCUGUC